CCUACGGGAGGCAGCAGUGGGGAAUAUUGGACAAUGGGCGAAAGCCUGAUCCAGCCAUGCCGCGUGUGUGAAGAAGGCCUUCGGGUUGUAAAGCACUUUCAGUGGGGAAGAAAGCCUUGGGGCUAAUACCCUCGAGGAAGGACAUCACCCACAGAAGAAGCACCGGCUAACUCCGUGCCAGCAGCCGCGGUAAUACGGAGGGUGCGAGCGUUAAUCGGAAUUACUGGGCGUAAAGCGCGCGUAGGCGGUCUGAUAAGCCGGUUGUGAAAGCCCCGGGCUCAACCUGGGAACGGCAUCCGGAACUGUCAGGCUAGAGUGCAGGAGAGGAAGGUAGAAUUCCCGGUGUAGCGGUGAAAUGCGUAGAGAUCGGGAGGAAUACCAGUGGCGAAGGCGGCCUUCUGGACUGACACUGACGCUGAGGUGCGAAAGCGUGGGUAGCAAACAGGAUUAGAUACCCCAGAGUC
Molecule: ribosomal RNA, 464 nt
Filed under: Vreelandella stevensii
Lineage: Bacteria; Pseudomonadati; Pseudomonadota; Gammaproteobacteria; Oceanospirillales; Halomonadaceae
Description: partial 16S ribosomal RNA
Rfam family: Bacterial small subunit ribosomal RNA
Source: RNAcentral